RNAcentral lists this long non-coding RNA (299 nucleotides) under Medicago truncatula (barrel medic). Its description in RNAcentral is "long non-coding RNA (MTRU_LNC007573)". Lineage: Eukaryota; Viridiplantae; Streptophyta; Magnoliopsida; Fabales; Fabaceae. The record is from RNAcentral.
AGGAGCAGCUGGCUCGGCUUAUGCAAGCACAGGCUCAAGCUCCCUCCCACACUAGAGUGCCGGUUUUCAGUCCGAAUGUUGAGCCUUAUCCCGUAUAUGAGGAGGAUGAUGUGGACGAUGUGGAUGAUGUUGAGGAUUGAUGUUUUAGGUCCUUUAUGAUAUAUUCUCUUUUGGCUUUUAUCUAUAUAAUUUCUAGGUCUGUAAUACUUGGGGAAGUUUCUUAUACUUCCUAGCACAAUUUCUACCUAUUUGAUACUUAUGGUGUUUAAUAUUUGGUACAAUUUUAAUUUCAAUGCUCC